Molecule: unclassified non-coding RNA, 329 nt
Filed under: soil metagenome
Description: partial contains 5.8S ribosomal RNA, internal transcribed spacer 2, and large subunit ribosomal RNA
Rfam family: 5.8S ribosomal RNA (bases 1-120)
Source: RNAcentral
GAUGAAGAACGUAGCGAAAUGCGAUAAGUAAUGUGAAUUGCAGAAUUCAGUGAAUCAUCGAAUCUUUGAACGCACAUUGCGCCCCUUGGUAUUCCGAGGGGCAUGCCUAUUCGAGCGUCAUUAUCACCCCUCAAGCCUAGCUUGGUGUUGAGGCCUGCUGUCAAGGCAGCCUCUAAAAUCAGUGGCAGUGCUGUCAGGCUCUAAGCGUAGUAAAUCUAAUUGCUAUAGACACCUGGUGGACACUCGCCAGAACCCCCCCAUUUUUUAAUGAUUGACCUCGGAUUAGGUAGGGAUACCCGCUGAACUUAAGCAUAUCAAUAAGCGGAGGA